UCCCUGGUGGUCCAGUGGAUAAGACUCCAUACUUCCAAUGUGGGGGACACAGGUUCAAUCCCUAGUCAGGUAA
Molecule: transfer RNA, 73 nt
Filed under: Capra hircus (goat)
Lineage: Eukaryota; Metazoa; Chordata; Mammalia; Artiodactyla; Bovidae
Also listed under: 1 other name
Rfam family: tRNA
About the family: Transfer RNA (tRNA) molecules are approximately 80 nucleotides in length. Their secondary structure includes four short double-helical elements and three loops (D, anti-codon, and T loops).
Source: Rfam by way of RNAcentral